RNAcentral lists this ribosomal RNA (253 nucleotides) under uncultured bacterium. Its description in RNAcentral is "partial 16S ribosomal RNA". It matches the Rfam family "Bacterial small subunit ribosomal RNA", at positions 524 to 776 of the family's 1533-position model. The record is from RNAcentral.
UACGUAGGGGCCGAGCGUUGUCCGGAGUUAUUGGGCGUAAAGCGCGCGCAGGCGGCUUGGCGCGCCCGACGUGAAAGCCCCCGGCUUAACCGGGGAGAGUCGUCGGGGACGGCCGGGCUUGAGGGCGGGAGAGGGUGGUGGAAUUCCCGGUGUAGUGGUGAAAUGCGUAGAGAUCGGGAGGAACACCUGUGGCGAAGGCGGCCACCUGGGCCGACCCUGACGCUGAGGCGCGAAGGCGUGGGGAGCGAUCCGG